UACGUAGGGUGCAAGCGUUAAUCGGAAUUACUGGGCGUAAAGCGCACGCAGGUGGCUGAGUCAGUCGAUUGUGAAAGCCCUGGGCUUAACCUGGGAAUUGCAGUCGAUACUACUCAGCUAGAGUAUGGGAGAGGGCAGUGGAAUUCCCGGUGUAGCGGUGAAAUGCGUAGAUAUCGGGAGGAACAUCAGUGGCGAAGGCGGCUGCCUGGCCCAAUACUGACACUCAGGUGCGACAGCGUGGGGAGCAAACAGG
Molecule: ribosomal RNA, 253 nt
Filed under: uncultured bacterium
Lineage: Bacteria
Description: partial 16S ribosomal RNA
Rfam family: Bacterial small subunit ribosomal RNA
Source: RNAcentral